Molecule: long non-coding RNA, 405 nt
Filed under: Pan troglodytes (chimpanzee)
Lineage: Eukaryota; Metazoa; Chordata; Mammalia; Primates; Hominidae
Description: lincRNA
Source: RNAcentral
CCGUUUGUGAGAGAAAACCUGGUAUCUGGCUUCUGACGUUUCAGUACAAUCUUCUAUUGUGCAUCUGGAUGACAUCACUGUUGUGUCCUUUGCAGAGAUGUGCAUACAGGGCCCUAACUCUCCAGGAGCUGCUACGGACAGAGCCCGGUAAUCCCAACGACUUAGUGGAUCCUGUGCCUCCCAAGGCUGGAGCCCACGGUGACUGCACACUUGUCACAGACUGGCAGGCCAUUUGUCUGCUGCAGCCCACCAAAUCCCACAGAUCUUUCUGGAUCCUUUGCAGCAGGCUUUUCAUACCUUGAGUCUUUCUUAAUGCUCACAUGAAAAAGCAACUGCUGUUUGCUGUGCUCGUAAAAGUCUUGCUAGAAAUUAACACCUUGUGUGAAUAAAAACAUCAAGUAAGUA